Molecule: ribosomal RNA, 368 nt
Filed under: uncultured organism
Description: bacterial SSU rRNA
Rfam family: Bacterial small subunit ribosomal RNA
Source: RNAcentral
CGGAGGGUGCAAGCGUUAUCCGGAUUCACUGGGUUUAAAGGGUGCGUAGGUGGGCUAGUAAGUCCGUGGUGAAAUCUCCAAGCUUAACUUGGAAACUGCCGUGGAUACUAUUAGUCUUGAAUCUCGUGGAGGUAAGCGGAAUAUGUCAUGUAGCGGUGAAAUGCUUAGAUAUGACAUAGAACACCGAUAGCGAAGGCAGCUUGCUACACGAGUAUUGACACUGAGGCACGAAAGCGUGGGGAUCAAACAGGAUUAGAUACCCUGGUAGUCCACGCCCUAAACGAUGGAUACUCGACAUACGCGAUACACAGUGUGUGUCUGAGCGAAAGCAUUAAGUAUCCCACCUGGGAAGUACGACCGCAAGGUUG